GAAAGAUCGGCCCGCGUCUGAUUAGCUAGUUGGUGAGGUAAUGGCUCACCAAGGCGACGAUCAGUAGCUGGUCUGAGAGGAUGAUCAGCCACAUUGGGACUGAGACACGGCCCAAACUCCUACGGGAGGCAGCAGUGGGGAAUAUUGGACAAUGGGGGCAACCCUGAUCCAGCCAUGCCGCGUGAGUGAUGAAGGCCCUAGGGUUGUAAAGCUCUUUUGUGCGGGAAGAUAAUGACGGUACCGCAAGAAUAAGCCCCGGCUAACUUCGUGCCAGCAGCCGCGGUAAUACGAAGGGGGCUAGCGUUGCUCGGAAUCACUGGGCGUAAAGGGUGCGUAGGCGGGUUUUUAAGUCAGGGGUGAAAUCCUGGAGCUCAACUCCAGAACUGCCUUUGAUACUGAAGAUCUUGAGUCCGGGAGAGGUGAGUGGAACUGCGAGUGUAGAGGUGAAAUUCGUAGAUAUUCGCAAGAACACCAGUGGCGAAGGCGGCUCACUGGCCCGGUACUGACGCUGAGGCACGAAAGCGUGGGGAGCAAACAGGAUUAGAU
This 546-nucleotide ribosomal RNA is filed under the name uncultured bacterium. RNAcentral's name for it is "bacterial SSU rRNA". It matches the Rfam family "Bacterial small subunit ribosomal RNA", at positions 220 to 783 of the family's 1533-position model. The record is from RNAcentral.